UUCAUGUUCAACGUUUCAACGUUUGACCGUUCGUCUUAUUUGAAAAAAAUUUAUGAUUUGUAUUUUUUAUUAUUAGAUGAUAAAAUAUUAAUAUUAUUUUGUGUGACUAUUUUUUUAAUUUUUUCAUAAUUUUUUUAAAUAAGAUGGAUGGUCAAACAUUGAACACGGAUAUCCACUGCUGCGCUUAUU
Molecule: non-coding RNA, 189 nt
Organism: Oryza punctata
Lineage: Eukaryota; Viridiplantae; Streptophyta; Magnoliopsida; Poales; Poaceae
Source: Rfam